This 271-nucleotide ribosomal RNA is filed under the name uncultured bacterium. RNAcentral's name for it is "partial 16S ribosomal RNA". It matches the Rfam family "Bacterial small subunit ribosomal RNA", at positions 78 to 354 of the family's 1533-position model. The record is from RNAcentral.
CUUAUGCCGGCGACCGGCGGACGGGUGCGUAACGCGUAUGUAACCUACCUUUGACAGGGGGAUAACAUCGAGAAAUUGGUACUAAUACCCCAUAACAUCACCGGAGGCAUCUUCGGUGGUUGAAAACUCAGGUGGUCAGAGAUGGACAUGCGUUGUAUUAGCUAGUUGGCGAGGUAACGGCUCACCAAGGCGACGAUACAUAGGGGGACUGAGAGGUCAACCCCCCACAUUGGUACUGAGACACGGACCAAACUCCUACGGGAGGCAGCAG